Molecule: long non-coding RNA, 1052 nt
Filed under: Lathyrus oleraceus (garden pea)
Lineage: Eukaryota; Viridiplantae; Streptophyta; Magnoliopsida; Fabales; Fabaceae
Description: Pisum sativum (pea) long non-coding RNA (PSAT_LNC036249)
Source: RNAcentral
CAGGAUUCUAAACCUAAAAGAUAUUCAUAUUCAUGGAUGGUGAUUAACAAUCUAUAUCCUUUUACACAUGGUAUUAAUAGUUUUUUUUUUACAAAAGGACAAUGAAAUAUAAUAAGAAAAGAGAGCUACAAAAAAGAAGGGGGACUAUGUCAAGAACCUUCCCUCAAAAUGAGGUAAAUAUAAAGUUAGGCAUUCUUAACUUAUUCUUUAUGAGACUCUCCAUUAUUAAAUUUGGAAUUUCAAGAAUGUAUCUAUAACCAUUUAUCCUAAAUCCCUCAUUGGAAAGGAGAUCCACACACAUUUCCCUCAUAAUAUACAUGAGUUGCCAUAAAAUGGAAAGUCUUUAUGAAGUUUUGACAAUUUCUUCAUUUGUGCCUUAGGUGUCAAGGAACCAAUGAGGCGGAGCUAAAAGUAAAAACCACCAUGGAGGAAUUGGACUCUAGCUAGAGAUGUGUCUAGCUGUUGGAUUAUGCAAUCUCUAUGGCUUUGAUAACACCAACUAAUUCUACAUAGAAAGCAUCGUGGUGGCCCAUGUUAUCUAAAAACCUACAAAAGAAUCAGAAUCAUGGUUCCUAAACAGACCUCCAUGGGCUGAGGUGGUUGAGGUUGAUGCCCCAUUUGUGUUAGCAUCGAUCCAACUGGAAGAGGGAGGCUCCACAUGACUCCAAUUAUUUAAGGAGAGCGAAGAGGUGGAUUCCAACAUCAAAAAGCUUCAGGAUCCUUAAAUCACAUGGUAUUGGUAGUUAUGUAAGAAAUAUUGCAAACAUUUGUGACUGCCUCAACAAAAAAUUUGUUUUUUUAGUAUUCGGGAUCUAGGACCAGUGCGAGUUUCUGGGUAGAGGAGGUCAUCCACGGUGGUUGAGCGAGGAGAAUAAAGAGUUGAGUCGACGAUGUUUCAAAGUCGCCAAACGUCAUUUUACUAUCCUUCAAUGACUUUUCAAAUGUAUAAUUAAUAAUUAAUAAUACACGAACUAUAUAUUAUGUUUGAUAUGUUUUUUAUUGAAUAUUUCUUUUACAAAUAUGAUGAUAUAAAAUAGAAGAUAAUAUUGAGA